CAGCUCAACUGAAAGAGACUCAGCUUUUAUAUUGGAUGUUGGACCCCUGCCCUUCUUCAUCAUUGUUGUCCAUAUAUGAGCAAAGAGCAGCUUAUUAACAUCCUCCUGAAGAGGCAUUACUCAUUUGAUCUUCUACUGCUCCUUAUUUUUCUUAAUGUUAAUAUGACUAGAAUAAAAUGUUUUCCUUAUUCGCAUUCUGUCAUGGGAGCAGAAUUCAAAACAGUGAUAAAUUAGAAUAACUGAAUGAUAGCCAGCAUGUCCACAUAACAGUUCUCCCCAGCAACCAACAGCUGUGAGCCAAAAGGUACUAUAAGCAGACCAGCUUUUCAGAAGAACAGACAGACUGUUUAACCUUGGCAACUCUAAGAUCUGUAAACUUCAACUCCAGCUAUGCUGAAUGGGGAAUUCUGGGAGCUGAAAUCCACAAUUCUUAAAGGACCCAAGCCAACAAAGGCAGAAAGCGGAGAGAGAAACUGAGCCAAGAUGGACCACUGAGAAACAAGACUAGAUAUUAGGAUGCUCAGGGAAGUAUAAAUUUGCAGAAAUGUGAACAGAAAACGAAAGACACAAACUGAACAUGGCAAUCUUUCCCCCUCAACCCCUCGCCUCACAAAUCAACCCUUUCAGCUACAAAAUGAAGAUUGACAGUUAGUAUGAAAAACGGAAAAAGGGGUGGGGUGGGGAACAAGUGUUGUUUGCCAUGUUUCACUUGUUGCAGCUUAUGCUACUAUAGGAAAGAAAAUUGCUGGCUAAAAUACUAAAAAAGAAACUUCCUUUCUAAUUGUAAUCUACAAUUUCCUACUUGUAGAUUGUAAUGCUUGCCUUAUUUGUAUGCUGGUUACCAUGACAAGAGUUUGUUUUCUGAGCAUGUGCAUGGCGAGACAAACCAGAAGCUAUAGCAUCCCAUAAUUUCUAGUAACUAUUAGUUUUCCUUGUCUUUUCAACAAAACACAGAAUGUAAAAGACAUACUGCAUAUUAUUUUUAAUAUAGUUGCUGGCAGGCUAAGAAGGUGUCGUCUAAGCCAUGCUGAGCAUCUUGGGGGAGAAAGCCCCGCAGUUAUGUGUCUCUCCCAAACUAUUUUUGGAAACGUGCAACAAUUGCCCAAGAUCAUUGAAAUCCAUAGCAUACAUUCUUGUUGUUUCCUAAUGUAUACCUAAAAAAUGAAUUAGAUAAGCAAAGCAUACAUACUUUAAAUAUCACCCAGUCCCAGAACCUCUUGAAAGUAAUAAUGCAAAACAAUUUUAGAAAAAUCUCACCCAUUUGUGUGAUGUCACUAAGACCUCUGUAGUUCCCAGAAUACAUAUCAAGAAAAGCCAUGACAUCAUUGUACAAAUUAUGACAUGAAUAAAUAUAUUUGCUUAAGCUUAAUUACA
Crotalus tigris (Tiger rattlesnake) is the source of this 1374-nucleotide long non-coding RNA. RefSeq lists it as uncharacterized. The record is from RefSeq and is a predicted model, not a curated record. The transcript is spliced from 3 exons. Lineage: Eukaryota; Metazoa; Chordata; Lepidosauria; Squamata; Viperidae.